GGAGCUAUUUUCUUCAUUGUGAUGAAUUAGAUAUUUGGUAACUUGUCAGCCAUUGACCUCUUUUAAGGCAGAAGCACAUUUUCAUUCAUGAGAAUGCCAGUGGGUUCUACAGGGUUUCCUCAUACUUCAUUGCUAAGGUUCUCUGUGACAUUAUACCAAUGAGAGUAUUACAACUCUGUAUAUUUGCAUCAGUGACAUACUUCAUGAUGGGUUUUCAAGUUGAAGUUAAUAAGUUCUUUAUCUAUUUCCUUGGGCUCAUGUUGGUUGCCAUUGCUGCCUCCUCCUCUGCCUUUUGGGUCAGUGCUGGUGUCACUGUGGCUGGUUUAGCUAAUCUACUGGUAACUCUCACUUAUGUGGUACAAAUGGUAC
Amphimedon queenslandica is the source of this 369-nucleotide long non-coding RNA. RefSeq lists it as uncharacterized. The record is from RefSeq and is a predicted model, not a curated record. The transcript is spliced from 3 exons. NCBI's taxonomy places the organism in Eukaryota, Metazoa, Porifera, Demospongiae, Haplosclerida, Niphatidae.